GACGAACGCUGGCGGCGUGCCUAAUACAUGCAAGUCGAGCGCAGGAGGCCGUUCCGAUCCCUCCGGGGGGACGACGGCGGAAUGAGCGGCGGACGGGUGAGUAACACGUAAAGAACCUGCCCAUAGGUCUGGGAUAACCACGAGAAAUCGGGGCUAAUACCGGAUGUGUCAUCGGACCGCAUGGUCCGCUGAUGAAAGGCGCUUCGGCGUCGCCCAUGGAUGGCUUUGCGGUGCAUUAGCUAGUUGGUGGGGUAAUGGCCCACCAAGGCGACGACGCAUAGCCGACCUGAGAGGGUGAUCGGCCACACUGGGACUGAGACACGGCCCAGACUCCUACGGGAGGCAGCAGUAGGGAAUCUUCCACAAUGGACGAAAGUCUGAUGGAGCAACGCCGCGUGAACGAUGAAGGCUUUCGGGUCGUAAAGUUCUGUUGUAAGGGAAGAACAAGUGCCGCAGGCAAUGGCGGCACCUUGACGGUACCUUGCGAGAAAGCCACGGCUAACUACGUGCCAGCCGCCGCCGUAA
Molecule: ribosomal RNA, 525 nt
Filed under: uncultured bacterium
Lineage: Bacteria
Description: partial 16S ribosomal RNA
Rfam family: Bacterial small subunit ribosomal RNA
Source: RNAcentral